UCGGGUCCACUCUGGGGGCGCCCAGUGCUACAACCGGAAACGCGGCUGGAGGCCAGUGGAUGCUUGAUGGAGCAGUUCGCGCCGUGGUGCGCGCGCGCCAGGGCUUAGGCUCCAAGUAAAGGCCUUCUUCAUCCAUCCACCCACAACCAGGGGUGUGGAAGGGGAAAUCAGGCUUUGACAUAAAUGAAUGGAGACUGAUACUCCUGGGAGAAGAGGAUGUUGUCCCCAGGAUCCAUGUGGUCUGCACCAAUAUCUUCUUUGUUUGGAAUGCACCUUUUUCCCAGUUCCCAGGAAGUGGCUGUGGAAUUUGCUUCCAAAUAUAGACUCGGGUGGCCCAGGCUGCUGCAGACAGCCCCUUUGGCCUCCCAGGCUGAAUGGCAGAACAGUGAUUGCCUUCCAGGAGGCCCAGGCCCACAGGCCUCUGCUUGGAGCUGUCGUGUGGCAGCCAGCGCUGCGCCCAGAGCAAACAGGCGGUGGGAAGAGCCUGAAACACCGGGAAGCGAAGGGAGCGCCUGGGGAGGCUGAAGGAGCGGCGCUAGCGGCAAGUCCCUCCGGGUGCGGAGUCUGGGGCCUUGAGGCGGCAGGACUCCUCCGGCCCCAGGGAGAGCCACAGAGCAAAGAUAGGAGAAGGGCCGCGCCUGGCGGGUG
Molecule: long non-coding RNA, 648 nt
Filed under: Homo sapiens (human)
Lineage: Eukaryota; Metazoa; Chordata; Mammalia; Primates; Hominidae
Description: HSALNT0370629
Source: RNAcentral